Small nuclear RNA from Ochotona princeps (American pika), 162 nucleotides. Its record names the gene U1. It matches the Rfam family "U1 spliceosomal RNA". Rfam says of the family: U1 is a small nuclear RNA (snRNA) component of the spliceosome (involved in pre-mRNA splicing). Its 5' end forms complementary base pairs with the 5' splice junction, thus defining the 5' donor site of an intron. Lineage: Eukaryota; Metazoa; Chordata; Mammalia; Lagomorpha; Ochotonidae. The record is from Ensembl.
AUACUUACCUGGCAGAGGAGAUACCAUGAUCAGGCAGGUGGUUUCCCAGGGCCAGGCUCAUCCAUUGCACUCCGCCUUGCUGACCCCUGCAAUUUCCCCAAAUGUGGGACACUUGACUGCAUAGUUUGUGGUAGUGGGGGACUGCAUUCUCACUCUCCCCUU